Molecule: non-coding RNA, 2376 nt
Organism: Petromyzon marinus (sea lamprey)
Lineage: Eukaryota; Metazoa; Chordata; Hyperoartia; Petromyzontiformes; Petromyzontidae
Source: RefSeq, a predicted model, not a curated record
ACCAACUCCUCACUACGUACAGACACAGGUUCAAUACCAACUCUUCACUACGUACAGACACAGGUUCAAUACCAACUCCUCACUACGUACAGACAUAGGUUCAAUACCAACUCCUCACUACGUACAGACGCAGGUUCAAUACCAACUCCUCGCUACGUACAGACAUAGGUUCAAUACCAACUCCUCACUACGUACAGACGCAGGUUCAAUACCAACUCUUCACUACGUACAGACAUAGGUUCAAUACCAACUCCUCACUACGUACAGACGCAGGUUCUACACCGUCUCACUAUGUACAGACACAGGUUCUACACCGUCUCCUCACUACGUACAGACACAGGUUCAAUACCAACUCCUCACUACGUACAGACGCAGGUUCUACACCGUCUCCUCACUACGUACAGACACAGGUUCAAUACCAACUCCUCACUACGUACAGACAGGUUCUACACCAACUCCUCACUACGUACAGACACAGGUUCAAUACCAACUCUUCACUACGUACAGACACAGGUUCAAUACCAACUCUUCACUACGUACAGACACAGGUUCUACACCAACUCCUCACUACGUACAGACACAGGUUCUACACCAACUCCUCACUACGUACAGACACAGGUUCAAUACCAACUCCUCACUACGUACAGACACAGGUUCUACACCGUCUCACUACGUACAGACACAGGUUCAAUACCAACUCCUCACUACGUACAGAGACAGGUUCAAUACCAACUCCUCACUACGUAUAGAAACAGGUUCAAUACCGACUCCUCACUACGUACAGACACAGGUUCAAUACCGACUCCUCACUACGUAUAGAAACAGGUUCAAUACCAACUCCUCACUACGUACAGACACAGGUUCAAUACCAACUCCUCACUACGUACAGACACAGGUUCAAUACCAACUCCUCACUACGUACAGACACAGGUUCAAUACCAACUCCUCACUACGUACAGACAUAAGUUCAAUACCAACUCCUCACUACGUACAGACACAGGUUCUACACCAACUCCUCACUACGUACAGACACAGGUUCAAUACCAACUCCUCACUACGUACAGAGACAGGUUCAAUACCAACUCCUCACUACGUAUAGAAACAGGUUCAAUACCAACUCCUCACUACGUACAGACACAGGUUCAAUACCAACUCCUCACUACGUACAGACACAGGUUCUACACCAUCUCCUCACUACGUACAGACACAGGUUCAAUACCAACUCCUCACUACGUACAGACACAGGUUCUACACCAACUCCUCACUACGUACAGACACAGGUUCAAUACCAACUCCUCACUACGUACAGACACAGGUUCCACACCGUCUCACUACGUACAGACACAGGUUCUACACCGUCUCCUCACUACGUACAGACACAGGUUCAAUACCAACUCCUCACUAGGUACAGACACAGGUUCAAUACCAACUCCUCACUACGUACAGACGCAGGUUCCACACCGUCUCACUACGUACAGACACAGGUUCUACACCAACUCCUCACUACGUACAGACACAGGUUCAAUACCAACUCCUCACUACGUAUAGAAACAGGUUCAAUACCAACUCCUCACUACGUACAGACACAGGUUCAAUACCAACUCCUCACUACGUACAGACACAGGUUCAAUACCAACUCCUCACUACGUACAGACACAGGUUCAAUACCAACUCCUCACUACGUACAGACACAGGUUCAAUACCAACUCCUCACUACGUACAGACACAGGUUCAAUACCAACUCCUCACUACGUACAGACAUAAGUUCAAUACCAACUCCUCACUACGUACAGACACAGGUUCUACACCAACUCCUCACUACGUACAGACACAGGUUCAAUACCAACUCCUCACUACAUACAGAGACAGGUUCAAUACCAACUCCUCACUACGUAUAGAAACAGGUUCAAUACCAACUCCUCACUACGUACAGACACAGGUUCAAUACCGACUCCUCACUACGUACAGACACAGGUUCAAUACCAACUCCUCACUACGUACAGACGCAGGUUCCACACCGUCUCACUACGUACAGACACAGGUUCUACACCAACUCCUCACUACGUACAGACACAGGCGUUUUUCCCUCCAUGUAGCAUCCACGUGUGUUUAGAUUUGCACGUGACUGAAACGGCGCUCUCCGGAGCCGAAAUGGACGAGAGUGGUGAUUAUCCACUUGGUGGGGGCUACCAUUUGUGAUGGCGAGGUCGCUUCUGAGCUUCGUAGCGCCGCGUGAACCUGGCACCUCCAUGAAAUAAAAAAUGUAGUUUUAGUUUCUCUCAACUCUUGUCCAACCUCACGCGGACUUUGUCCCUCGGCGUGUCCCCCCCACGCGUGUCUCCUUGCCGUCUGACCCAAUGUCCCCCACGCGCGCGU